Molecule: ribosomal RNA, 969 nt
Filed under: uncultured stramenopile
Lineage: Eukaryota
Description: SSU rRNA
Rfam family: Eukaryotic small subunit ribosomal RNA
Source: RNAcentral
UGCCAGUAGUCAUAUGCUUGUCUCAAAGAUUAAGCCAUGCAUGUCUAAGUAUAAACAAAUCUAUACUGUGAAACUGCGAAUGGCUCAUUAUAUCAGUUAUAGUUUAUUUGAAGGUCCUUGCUACUUGGAUAACCGUAGUAAUUCUAGAGCUAAUACAUGCAUCAAACCCCGACUUUUGGAAGGGGUGUAUUUAUUAGAUGGAGACCAAUGCGGGGCAACCCGGUAAAUGGUGAUUCAUAAUAACUUUCGGAUCGGUCUUCGGAUCGAUGCUUCAUUCAAGUUUCUGCCCUAUCAGCUUUGGAUGGUAGGGUAUUGGCCUACCAUGGCUUUAACGGGUAACGGAGAAUUAGGGUUCGAUUCCGGAGAGGGAGCCUGAGAAAUGGCUACCACAUCCAAGGAAGGCAGCAGGCGCGUAAAUUACCCAAUCCUGGCACAGGGAGGUAGUGACAAUAAAUAACAAUGCCGGGCUUUUUAAGUCUGGCAAUUGGAAUGAGAACAAUUUAAAUCCCUUAUCGAGGAUCAAUUGGAGGGCAAGUCUGGCGCCAGCAGCCGCGGUAAUUCCAGCUCCAAUAGCGUAUACUAAAGUUGUUGCAGUUAAAAAGCUCGUAGUUGAAUUUCUGGUCUUGGAUUUCGGUCUGCCUCAAACGAGGUAUGUACCAGGGAUCUGAGACCAUCCUCGAGGAAAACGUAUCUGUCAUUAAGUUAAUGGGUAUGGGAUCCUCGUCAUUUACUGUGAGCAAAAUAGGGUGUUCAAAGCAGGCUUAUGCCGUUGAAUACAUUAGCAUGGAAUAAUAAGAUAAGACCUUGGUCUAUUUUGUUGGUUUGUACUCCAAGGUAAUGAUUAAUAGGGAUAGUUGGGGGUAUUUGUAUUCAAUUGUCAGAGGUGAAAUUCUUGGAUUUAUGGAAGACAAACUACUGCGAAAGCAUUCACCAAGGAUGUUUUCAUUAAUCAAGAACGAAAGUUAGGGG